RNAcentral lists this long non-coding RNA (296 nucleotides) under Mytilus galloprovincialis (Mediterranean mussel). Lineage: Eukaryota; Metazoa; Mollusca; Bivalvia; Mytilida; Mytilidae. The record is from RNAcentral.
CGUUUGUUUAUGUGGUUUGUAAGUGUUUCUCGUUUCUUGUUGGUUUUCCCGUUUGAAUGGUUUUACACUAGUAACUGUUUGGGGUCGUUUAUAGCUUGCUGUUCGGUGUGAUCCAUUGCUCCAUGUUGAAGACCGUACCUGGACCUAUAAUGGUUUACUUUUAUAAAUUGUGACUUGGAGAGUUGUCUCAUUGGAACUCAUACCACAUCUUCCUAUAUCUACUAACACUGUUGUUGUUUCUGUAGGCAGAUUCAGUUUCGGACACAUCAGAUUUGUUUUUUUUUAUUUUAAAUUCU